This is a non-coding RNA of Ataeniobius toweri, 75 nucleotides long. Lineage: Eukaryota; Metazoa; Chordata; Actinopteri; Cyprinodontiformes; Goodeidae. The record is from the annotation of a GenBank genome assembly.
UGCAUGGUGGUGCAGUUGGUAGCACUGUUGCCUUACAGAAUAAAUGUCCUGGGUUCGACUCCUGGUCGGGGGUCU